AGGGUCCCUUGCCACACGCCCAUUCUCGGCAGGUGUGGAAGGCCCCUCGCAUGACUGGUCCUGACACUGUCGUCACGCCAGCCC
This is a non-coding RNA of Pseudomonas syringae pv. spinaceae, 84 nucleotides long. NCBI's taxonomy places the organism in Bacteria, Pseudomonadati, Pseudomonadota, Gammaproteobacteria, Pseudomonadales, Pseudomonadaceae. The record is from Rfam.